Molecule: long non-coding RNA, 943 nt
Filed under: Hordeum vulgare
Lineage: Eukaryota; Viridiplantae; Streptophyta; Magnoliopsida; Poales; Poaceae
Description: long non-coding RNA (HVUL_LNC000579)
Source: RNAcentral
CCUUUCUUACUUUUUUCCGAAACCAGAAUAUGUGAGUAAACUUUAUAACCUCUUUCGUUCAUGAAGUUAUGCUCUUAAAUAAAAAUCAUCCAGGAGUGUAUAUGUGAAGGCAAUAAGCUAGUUAACAUAUACAAUUGCAAGAAGAAGAAGGUAAGUGUGCAUAUACAGGACAAAAGAAUAUAUUUUUUAAGCGUCGGGGCUAUUAGAUUAACACAUACCAGCUCCAUCAACUAUUAUUUCUACUUGGGUAAUUUUGGUACCAAACUUUUAUAAACCCGUCAGCGGCUUAUCCCUAGGACCCGGAAAAAUAACACAUCGCCCGUCCAGCGGCGGUGUAUCCCUCGUCAUCGGCAGCGGCAGCCGAGUCUGCGUCCUCGCCCACAACCGAAUAUGUGGCAGUGGCGGCGGCGCCGCCCACCGAAUCCAGCGCUUCGGCGUCUUCCCGCACCGUCAAAGAUCAAUUGACUUGACCCAGGGCUGCAUCCACUCUGCUCUCACCGGCAACAAGGAGUGAUACGAAGGCAGUUAAUGACCAAUUCAAUUUGAAUAUAGAAAAAUUUCAGUAAAACUCAUAGUUCAACGCGAUCGUACAACUGAUAUGGUCGUUUCCAUGUGCGCCCUCGGUGUGGCAGCGCGGAGGCGUGACGAUGUGUACAGCAUCAUUCGCCCGCGGUCGCCUUGCGGCAUUGAAUCAAGAAGUAUGAGUUUCGGUGAAACAGUAAGAUGAAGAUGUGUAAGCAGACAGUAACACCAUGAAUCAGUUUAUUCCGAGACAUUUUUCUAGACGAAAAGCUUGCAAGUGCACGCUCUCUAAUCUCUACCUCUGCGCAUCCAUGUGAGGGCAGAAAAAAGGGAUUAGGAGAGAGAUGGGGCUGUUCACUGUACCUGCACAUCAGAUGGUGGUGGCGGUGUGGUGGACGAUGGCUACACGCGUGACGGGAUG